Molecule: ribosomal RNA, 607 nt
Filed under: uncultured bacterium
Lineage: Bacteria
Description: bacterial SSU rRNA
Rfam family: Bacterial small subunit ribosomal RNA
Source: RNAcentral
AAUGAACGUUGGCGGCAUGGAUUAGGCAUGCAAGUCGAGCGAAAACUCAUAGAUUGAAACUUCGGUCGAUUUCUAUAAGGGACAGCGGCGAAAGGGUGAGUAACGCGUAGUUACGUGCCCCAGGCUCUGGAAUAGCCACGGGAAACUGUAGGUAAUGCCAGAUAAUAUCUCCGGAUCAAAGGUGUGAUUCCGGCCUGGGAGCGGACUGCGUCCUACUAGCUUGUUGGUGGGGUAAUGGCCUACCAAGGCUUCGAUGGGUAGCGGGCGUGAGAGCGUGGCCCGCCACACUGGGACUGAGACACUGCCCAGACACCUACGGGUGGCUGCAGUCGAGAAUCUUCGGCAAUGGACGAAAGUCUGACCGAGCGAUGCCGCGUGCGGGAUGAAGGCCCUCGGGUUGUAAACCGCGAAAGUAAGGAGGAAGGCCCCGUGAAGAGCGGGUUUUGACCAAUCUACAGUAAGGACGGGCUAAGUUCGUGCCAGCAGCCGCGGUAACACGAACCGUCCAAACGUUAUUCGGAAUUAUUGGGCUUAAAGGGUGCGUAGGCGGCGUGUUAAGUCGGGUGUGAAAUCCCAGAGCUCAACUCUGGAACUGCGCCCGAUACUG